CAGCCGCCACGGUAAUACGUAGGGGGCAAGCGUUGUCCGGAAUCAUUGGGCGUAAAGCGCGUGUAGGCGGCUCGAUAAGUCUGCCGUGAAAGUCCAGGGCUCAACCCUGGAAUGCCGGUGGAAACUGUCGAGCUCGAGUCCGGAAGAGGCAAGUGGGAUUCCUGGUGUAGCGGUGAAAUGCGCAGAUAUCAGGAGGAACACCAAUGGCGAAGGCAGCUUGCUGGGACGGUACUGACGCUGAGACGCGAAAGCGUGGGGAGCAAACAGGAUUAGAUACCCCAGUAGUCCCUGUCUCUUAUAC
RNAcentral lists this ribosomal RNA (301 nucleotides) under uncultured bacterium. RNAcentral describes it as "partial 16S ribosomal RNA". It matches the Rfam family "Bacterial small subunit ribosomal RNA", at positions 509 to 807 of the family's 1533-position model. The record is from RNAcentral.